Molecule: ribosomal RNA, 449 nt
Filed under: uncultured organism
Description: partial 16S ribosomal RNA
Rfam family: Bacterial small subunit ribosomal RNA
Source: RNAcentral
UACACUCCUGCGGGAGGCAGCAGUGGGGAAUAUUGGACAAUGGGCGCAAGCCUGAUCCAGCCAUGCCGCGUGAGUGAUGAAGGCCCUAGGGUUGUAAAGCUCUUUCACCGGUGAAGAUAAUGACGGUAACCGGAGAAGAAGCCCCGGCUAACUUCGUGCCAGCAGCCGCGGUAAUACGAAGGGGGCUAGCGUUGUUCGGAUUUACUGGGCGUAAAGCGCACGUAGGCGGACUAUUAAGUCAGGGGUGAAAUCCCGGGGCUCAACCCCGGAACUGCCUUUGAUACUGGUAGUCUUGAGUUCGAGAGAGGUGAGUGGAAUUCCGAGUGUAGAGGUGAAAUUCGUAGAUAUUCGGAGGAACACCAGUGGCGAAGGCGGCUCACUGGCUCGAUACUGACGCUGAGGUGCGAAAGCGUGGGGAGCAAACGGGAUUAGAUACCCGAGUAGUCCCA